GUGAACGCUGGCGGUAGGCCUAACACAUGCAAGUCGAACGGCAGCACCGUAAGAGCUUGCUCUUACGGGUGGCGAGUGGCGGACGGGUGAGGAAUACAUCGGAAUCUACUUUUUCGUGGGGGAUAACGUAGGGAAACUUACGCUAAUACCGCAUACGACCUACGGGUGAAAGCAGGGGAUCUUCGGACCUUGCGCGAUUGAAUGAGCCGAUGUCGGAUUAGCUAGUUGGCGGGGUAAAGGCCCACCAAGGCGACGAUCCGUAGCUGGUCUGAGAGGAUGAUCAGCCACACUGGAACUGAGACACGGUCCAGACUCCUACGGGAGGCAGCAGUGGGGAAUAUUGGACAAUGGGCGCAAGCCUGAUCCAGCCAUACCGCGUGGGUGAAGAAGGCCUUCGGGUUGUAAAGCCCUUUUGUUGGGAAAGAAAAGCAGCAGGUUAAUACCCCGCUGUUCUGACGGUACCCAAAGAAUAAGCGCCGGCUAACUUCGUG
RNAcentral lists this ribosomal RNA (491 nucleotides) under uncultured bacterium. RNAcentral describes it as "partial 16S ribosomal RNA". It matches the Rfam family "Bacterial small subunit ribosomal RNA", at positions 29 to 507 of the family's 1533-position model. The record is from RNAcentral.